CUUUGGACCUUUUAUUCCUAUUUUACAUUAUUGAUUAUUCAUUCUAAUAUCUCUUCUGAUUUUCAGCCUGAAUUCUUUCUGAGUUAUUUUGAUUCUGUGAGUUUCUUCCAACUAUGUUCUAUUCCUACUUUUUCCACUAUUACGUUACAAGCUUCUUGGAGACUGAGGUUCCCUUGACCACAGAAAUAUAUGCAGAGAUUUGAUUAAUGAAUUCAGUAGAUGAGUUUCUCUUUUAGGCUAAACAAUACUCAAUAAACAUCUGACACCUUUCUUGAACCAAUUGUAGCUCUUAUCGACAAUAUUCUGGGCUUCCCAAAGCUUAAGGCUUUAAGAUAGGACAAACAGUUGCCCUGUAAUGCUGUCUCUCCCAGGAAUUCAGUUCCUGGAUGUGAGAGUUCCUUGCCUAAAUAAGGUAGGAAUGAUUUUUUAAGGACAUUAAGGAUCACUCAAAUACAGUUCAGGGUCUAAUUUCUGUGACAACAAUUGGACAAGGAAAGGAAUCUUCUGGACCUUUAUUAGUUAACAAUAUUCUAGGUUAGGCUGCUGUUACAACAUUCAAAUCUUAGUGACUAAACCAAAAAGAUUGAUUUGCUCAUGCUACUCAUCCUUUAUGGAUUGGAGGGAGAACACUGACAUUUUGGAAUCCCCAUACUGGGGGUACCCAUUUCAGGGAAGAAAGAGUGUGCUUGAGGAUCUCGAAUCAGUAAUUUAAUAUUUCAUCCAGGAGGAGACCACAUCACUUCUAUUUGUUGGUUAGAACCAGAAAGUACAAUCUACCUCAUGUUUGAAAGGAGAGAUAACUGGAAAUAUUAGAGAACAGCACUAAUGACCUCCACAAAACCUACAAGAAGUCUAGCCAGCUGCGGUGAUUAACAUUCACAAGCCAGUAUUUGACCCAGACUAACUUGAGAUAAUUGCAAUGGGCAUUUCUAAAUCUCUUUUUGUUUCCAUCAAAGGAAAUCACUUUCAUCAUUUUGCUCCUAAUUACUCUGUAUCUCUUUUAAAUUGUUCCUGCUUCAAAGUACAGUCAGUAAAAUAUUCUGAGAGCUCUGGUAUAAAUCCCAGGCCUGCUUCCUUGCUAACAUCUUCACCUCCGCACUGGGGCUGUCCUUGAGUGUGUGCCCUGCCUCCUUCAGCAACUCCAGGCACCCCCUCUUCCCCUCUCCCAUCACCCAGGGAGCCACUUGCAAGCAUCUCUGUUUCCUUGGAUGGCAGCAAUACACAAGGGCACCUCAUUGUUGGAAGGGAGCUGCCUCCUGCCUGCCAACGCAGACAUACAAAGCAAUAUAGGCAAGACUUCACAUCAAAGGAAACCCUGCCUGGGCUUGCCAAGAGCAGGCUGCCUCUGUGUCUCUCCCUUCUGCCUUGUUAGUAUUCUUAGGGCCCAAGGGGCCGAUGGUAGUCCCUGCCAGGCUACCCCAUUUAUCCAGCCUUCUGUUCUCUGACACCUGAAGCUCAGGGUGCUCCCGAGUCUGUGCUCAACCACUUGAACACAGCAGAAUGCCAAGUGUUUAAAAUGUUAGGUGAUUAGAAAUGAAAAGCCAUGAAAAAUAUUUACUCUGUGAAUUCUAUUUGAGUAAGAGAACAGAAUACUUUAUUUGUUCCAUGCAACAACACACUGAAAGAAAUUUCUGCCUGAGGCCUCAAAGGAGAAAAAAAAAAAAAAAAGCCCAUGAAGGAAAAUUUCCCUACUGAGGAAGGCAGGGUGCCCCAUAAGCAGAGCAUGGGGAGCACCAGAACCAAUGCUGAGAUGGAGAUGAGCUUCCUGGGAAUUUGGAUCCAGUGGGAGGAGGGCUGUGCAAGACUGGAAACCCAGAGAAACUGCAAGUUCUACUUUAGAAUCAACAUAAGAAUUCAAACUCUGUAGCUUUAAAGAAAAGAAAAAUUCUGUGUUUUACAAGGAACAUGAGAAAAAAUGGAAAAAGGGGGCUGACAGGAAUGAAGAGGAUAGAAGCUUUACUUUAGAAAACAGGUUGGUGGCACAGACACCUCCCUCUUCCCUAGUUGAAGAUACUGUUUUCACCUUCUCCACUCCCCUACACACAGAAGAGAAUGAGGAUGCAGACUCUAUUCAGUGAUGGCAUAUAUAACAUCCCUCUUCAAAGGAACCUGGCCUCCUCUUCAAUCAAUGAGCUCUGGACCUUAGGUCCAACUCACAUCUGAAAACCAGUUAAGAACAACUCAUAAACGAGGCUUUUGCCACCAUAUCUCUACAGUGCCAGCACUCUUCCCUCUUGCUUCACUGCAAAUGAGAAUCUCACAGGAACUGACCUGCAAAAGAGUAAGAUGAAAAAUGUUCAGAAUGUUUCAAAACUCCACUUGACACUAGCAGUAAGGUCUUGUUCCCAUUGAGCAGGUGAGUUCUCCAGUUCCAGAAUCAUGCCAAGCCACUCCUACCCAGGACCACUUUCAGCACUAUCUGAUUCGUCCUGAAUCAGACCCUAACACAAAGAUUUGAGUACAAGUAGUUUAUUUCCAAAUGGAUUUCAGGACACAGUAGGAGAGACAGGGAAAAGUAGAAAGUCAAUGAAGGGUGUGUAUCAAGCAGGAGACUUUAUGCCACACUGGGACUUCAUGGCCCUGGGAAAACAGGCAACACUCUAGAGCAUCCCUCAGUUAUCCUGAAGGAGGAAACAGUGAGGAUCCUAGCACAAAUAACUCUACCAUGAAGAUAGGAGCAAAAAGCGGCUUUUAACGAUACCGCUGGCUCAGUGAGUAACUCUUGUCAGUCUUCAGAGUCCUGAAUAAAAG
Molecule: long non-coding RNA, 2751 nt
Organism: Heterocephalus glaber (naked mole-rat)
Lineage: Eukaryota; Metazoa; Chordata; Mammalia; Rodentia; Bathyergidae
Source: RefSeq, a predicted model, not a curated record